RNAcentral lists this ribosomal RNA (310 nucleotides) under Anophryoides haemophila. Its description in RNAcentral is "partial Bacterial small subunit ribosomal RNA". It matches the Rfam family "Bacterial small subunit ribosomal RNA", at positions 649 to 956 of the family's 1533-position model. Lineage: Eukaryota; Ciliophora; Oligohymenophorea; Philasterida; Glauconematidae. The record is from RNAcentral.
AUGCAGGGGAGAACGGAAUUCCUGGUGGAGCGGUGGAAUGCGCAGAUAUCAGGAGGAACACCAGUGGCGAAGGCGGUUCUCUGGGCCUUUCCUGACGCUGAGGAGCGAAAGCGUGGGGAGCGAACAGGCUUAGAUACCCUGGUAGUCCACGCUGUAAACGGUGGGUACUAGGUGUGGGGUCCAUUCCACGGGUUCCGUGCCGUAGCUAACGCUUUAAGUACCCCGCCUGGGGAGUACGGCCGCAAGGCUAAAACUCAAAGGAAUUGACGGGGGCCCGCACAAGCGGCGGAUCAUGUGGAUUAAUUCGAUG